This 578-nucleotide ribosomal RNA is filed under the name uncultured bacterium. RNAcentral's name for it is "bacterial SSU rRNA". It matches the Rfam family "Bacterial small subunit ribosomal RNA", at positions 338 to 916 of the family's 1533-position model. The record is from RNAcentral.
CCUACGGGAGGCAGCAGUAAGGAAUAUUGGUCAAUGGGCGGAAGCCUGAACCAGCCAUGCCGCGUGCAGGAAGACGGCCCUACGGGUUGUAAACUGCUUUUGUACAGGAAUAAACCUUGAUACGUGUAUCAAGCUGAAUGUACUGUAAGAAUAAGGAUCGGCUAACUCCGUGCCAGCAGCCGCGGUAAUACGGAGGAUCCAAGCGUUAUCCGGAUUUAUUGGGUUUAAAGGGUGCGUAGGCGGCCUGUUAAGUCAGAGGUGAAAGGCGGUAGCUUAACUAUCGGAGUGCCUUUGAUACUGAUGGGCUUGAAUGCAGCUGAGGUAGGCGGAAUGUGACAAGUAGCGGUGAAAUGCAUAGAUAUGUCACAGAACACCGAUUGCGAAGGCAGCUUACUAAAGUGUGAUUGACGCUGAGGCACGAAAGCGUGGGGAUCAAACAGGAUUAGAUACCCUGGUAGUCCACGCCCUAAACGAUGAAUACUCGAUGUUGGCGAUAUACGGUCAGCGUCUAAGCGAAAGCGUUAAGUACUCCACCUGGGGAGUACGCCCGCAAGGGUGAAACUCAAAGGAAUUGACGG